GACGAACGCUGGCGGCGUGCUUAACACAUGCAAGUCGAACGCUGAAGCUUGGUGCUUGCACUGGGUGGAUGAGUGGCGAACGGGUGAGUAAUACGUGAGUAACCUGCCCUUGACUCUGGGAUAAGCCUGGGAAACUGGGUCUAAUACUGGAUACGACAUGUCACCGCAUGGUGGUGUGUGGAAAGGGUUUUACUGGUUUUGGAUGGGCUCACGGCCUAUCAGCUUGUUGGUGGGGUAAUGGCUCACCAAGGCGACGACGGGUAGACGGCCUGAGAGGGUGACCGGCCACACUGGGACUGAGAGACGGCCCAGACUCCUACGGGAGGCAGCAGUGGGGAAUAUUGCACAAUGGGCGGAAGCCUGAUGCAGCGACGCCGCGUGAGGGAUGACGGCCUUCGGGUUGUAAACCUCUUUCAGCACGGAAGAAGCGAAAGUGACGGUACGUGCAGAAGAAGCGCCGGCUAACUACGUG
This 472-nucleotide ribosomal RNA is filed under the name uncultured bacterium. RNAcentral's name for it is "partial 16S ribosomal RNA". It matches the Rfam family "Bacterial small subunit ribosomal RNA", at positions 28 to 507 of the family's 1533-position model. The record is from RNAcentral.